RNAcentral lists this ribosomal RNA (590 nucleotides) under Melampsora arctica. Its description in RNAcentral is "partial 28S ribosomal RNA". It matches the Rfam family "Eukaryotic large subunit ribosomal RNA", at positions 82 to 655 of the family's 3401-position model. RNAcentral also lists the same sequence under 1 other name. Lineage: Eukaryota; Fungi; Basidiomycota; Pucciniomycetes; Pucciniales; Melampsoraceae. The record is from RNAcentral.
AGUCACGGCGAGUGAACAGGGAAAAGCCCAAAUUUGUAAUCUGGCACUUUUUACAAGUGUCCGAGUUGUAAUUUGUAGAGCUGUUAUCCGUACUGGACCAUGUACAAGUCUGUUGAAAAGCAGCAUCAUUGAAGGUGAAAAUCCUGUAGAUGAUAUGGACUACCAGUAUAUUUGUGAUACGGUUUCUAAGAGUCGAGUUGUUUGGGAAUGCAGCUCAAAGUGGGUGGUAAAUUCCAUCUAAGGCUAAAUAUAAGUGAGAGACCGAUAGCAAACAAGUACCGUGAGGGAAAGAUGAAAAGAACUUUGAAAAUAGAGUUAACAGUACGUGAAAUUGCUGAAAGGGAAACGUUUGAAGUUAGUUUUGUAUUCGUUGGAUCAGCUUCGCAAGGAGUGUAUUCUGAUGAUAAGCAAGUCAACAUCAGUCUAUGAGUGUUGGAUAAGGGUUUUGAGAAUGUAGCAAUUUAAUUGUGUUAUAGCUUGAGACUUGGAUACAAUGCUUUGGAUUGAGGAACGCGUAGUAAGCUUUGAGCGGAUUCGAAAGGAUCUCCUUACUAUGGAUGUUGGUGAAAUAACUUUAAGCGACCCGUCUU